Long non-coding RNA from Apus apus (common swift), 572 nucleotides. RefSeq lists it as uncharacterized. The record is from RefSeq and is a predicted model, not a curated record. The transcript is spliced from 3 exons. Lineage: Eukaryota; Metazoa; Chordata; Aves; Apodiformes; Apodidae.
UUAGAGGGGUUCGAAGGGAUAAUUAGGGGGUCCUAGCGGCUAUUCCCUCGAGUUGCGGUAUUUGCGUAAGUUGCGCUAUUUGCGUAAUUUGCGGCAUUUGCGUAAUUUUUUUUUCGGUUUCCUAGGGCUAAUUAGGGGGUUCCAACGGGCAAUUAGAGGGCUCCUAGGUGUAAUUAAUGGCUUCCAGCUGUGAGUAGGCGUUUCUACAGGCAAUUAGAGGGGUUCGAAGGGAUAAUAAGGGGGUCCUAGCGGCUAUUCCCUCGAGUUGCGGUAUUUGCGCAAGUUGCGCUAUUUGCGUAAUUUUUUUUUUCGGUUUCCUAGGGCUAAUUAGGGGGUUCCAACGGGCAAUUAGAGGGCUCCUGGGUGUAAUUAAUGGCUUCCAGCUGUGAGUAGGCGUUUCUAGAGGCAAUUAGAGGGGUUCGAAGGGAUAAUUAAGGGGUCCUAGCGGCUAUUCCCUCGAGUUGCGGUAUUUGCGCUAUUUGCGCUAUUUGCGUAAUUUGCGGCAUUUGCGUAAUUUUUUUUUUUCGGUUUCCUAGGGCUAAUUAGGGGCUUCCAACGGGCAAUUAGAGGGC